Molecule: ribosomal RNA, 363 nt
Filed under: uncultured Sphingomonadaceae bacterium
Lineage: Bacteria; Pseudomonadati; Pseudomonadota; Alphaproteobacteria; Sphingomonadales; Sphingomonadaceae
Description: bacterial SSU rRNA
Rfam family: Bacterial small subunit ribosomal RNA
Source: RNAcentral
UAGUGAGUUUGAUCCUGGCUCAGAACGAACGCUGGCGGCAUGCCUAACACAUGCAAGUCGAACGAGACCUUCGGGUCUAGUGGCGCACGGGUGCGUAACGCGUGGGAAUCUGCCCUUGGGUUCGGAAUAACUCAGAGAAAUUUGUGCUAAUACCGUAUGAUGUCGAAAGACCAAAGAUUUAUCGCCCAAGGAUGAGCCCGCGUCGGAUUAGCUAGUUGGUGAGGUAAAGGCUCACCAAGGCGACGAUCCGUAGCUGGUCUGAGAGGAUGAUCAGCCACACUGGGACUGAGACACGGCCCAGACUCCGUACGGGAGGCAGCAGUGGGGAAUAUGCACAAUGGGCGGAAGCCUGAUGCAGCGACG